RNAcentral lists this long non-coding RNA (1052 nucleotides) under Heterocephalus glaber (naked mole-rat). RNAcentral's name for it is "lncRNA (ENSHGLG00000040177.1)". Lineage: Eukaryota; Metazoa; Chordata; Mammalia; Rodentia; Bathyergidae. The record is from RNAcentral.
UGCCCUGGGAGCAGAGUGAGGAGAGGGAGAGGGGAGAGAGGAGGCUGGAAAUCACCAAAAGCCACAACUACUGAAGUCAGGUCUCUGCCAUGUGCUGGGUGACCUUAGUUCCGAGCUGGAGUCCCUGCAUCAAGCCGUUCCUGAAGCCAGCGUCCUUGAAUAUGUUUCCUUCAGCUAUGAGAGCCAGCUCCCCUGCUUUUCACUAAGGCAACUCCUGUUGGCCAGCACUCCCCAGACCAGCGCCACCUCCUCUAAGACGCCUCCUCUGCCUCCCCUCCCCCAGGCGGUUCUGGGGGCUUCUGUCUUUCCUUGCGUUCAAGACGCACCAGGAUCCGAAGCAUCAACCACAAGGAACGAACAACACCCCGAUUACACCACCGUAACACGAGACUUUGUUCAGGGUUCCUGCCCCUGGUUGCUCACUGACCACAGGACUGUAACCGCCAAGUCCCAGCACAGCGCCCGGCGAGGACCUGAGCAUGAACCCCCCUCCCCGGUGACCCAGGGCACUGCUCCGGGCUGGUGGCCGUGAGCCAAGUGGCUGCUUCCGGGGGCUGGUGGCAGAAGUGCCCUCGCCCACUCUGGCCCAGCCCUUCCUGUCCCCAUCUGUGCCCUCGCCGCAGCCUCUGCCACCGGCAGCUGGCACCUGCUGCAGGGACGGAAGCAGGGGUGGCCACCUCGGGGCCUGAGUGUCUGGUGCUGGACCUCGAAGCCCCACGGGAUGCUCAGACUCCACCCUGAGGAGGGGCUGGCGUGGGGCACCCGAUGGCUUUACCCCCCCAGGACUGCGGUGGACCACAGGGCCUUUGAACUGGCCCUUUUUAUUUUUUGAGGGUCUCACUAAGUCACUAAAGUUGCACAGGCUGAGCUCCAACAUGGUGAUCUUCCUGCCUCAGCCUCCGAGUGCUGGAUGACAGGCGUGCACCAUCACCCAGCUCCGAUAACUACUUCGAAAAUAACCACCUUUUAACCACAGCCCUGCUCAGUGCUACCAUGCUGGGCCCUCUUAAGGGUGGGAGGAGGUCAAGGUUGCCAUGUUGUCCCUUCCACAG